RNAcentral lists this ribosomal RNA (301 nucleotides) under uncultured bacterium. RNAcentral's name for it is "partial 16S ribosomal RNA". It matches the Rfam family "Bacterial small subunit ribosomal RNA", at positions 509 to 809 of the family's 1533-position model. The record is from RNAcentral.
CAGUCGCCGCGGUAAUACAGAGGGUGCGAGCGUUAAUCGGAUUUACUGGGCGUAAAGCGUGCGUAGGCGGCUUCUUAAGUCGGAUGUGAAAUCCCUGAGCUUAACUUAGGAAUUGCAUUCGAUACUGGGAAGCUAGAGUAUGGGAGAGGAUGGUAGAAUUCCAGGUGUAGCGGUGAAAUGCGUAGAGAUCUGGAGGAAUACCGAUGGCGAAGGCAGCCAUCUGGCCUAAUACUGACGCUGAGGUACGAAAGCAUGGGGAGCAAACAGGAUUAGAGACCCCGGUAGUCCCUGUCUCUUAUAA